UACGAAGGGGGCUAGCGUUGCUCGGAAUCACUGGGCGUAAAGGGUGCGUAGGCGGGUCUUUAAGUCAGGGGUGAAAUCCUGGAGCUCAACUCCAGAACUGCCUUUGAUACUGAGGAUCUUGAGUUCGGGAGAGGUGAGUGGAACUGCGAGUGUAGAGGUGAAAUUCGUAGAUAUUCGCAAGAACACCAGUGGCGAAGGCGGCUCACUGGCCCGAUACUGACGCUGAGGCACGAAGGCCAGGGGAGCAAACGGG
Molecule: ribosomal RNA, 253 nt
Filed under: uncultured bacterium
Lineage: Bacteria
Description: partial 16S ribosomal RNA
Rfam family: Bacterial small subunit ribosomal RNA
Source: RNAcentral